GCCUGGAUAGCUCAGUUGGUUAGAGCGUGGUGCCAAUGAAACCAAGGUUGCAGGUUCGAGACAGCUGACCGUUCCUGCAUUGCAGGGGGUUGGACU
Molecule: non-coding RNA, 96 nt
Organism: Podarcis lilfordi (Lilford's wall lizard)
Lineage: Eukaryota; Metazoa; Chordata; Lepidosauria; Squamata; Lacertidae
Source: the annotation of a GenBank genome assembly